CUUGUAGGUGGCUUCGUAAGUUGGACGUGAAAUCUCCGGGCUUAACUCGGAGACGCCGUUCAAUACUGCGGGGCUGGAGGAUGUCAGAGGGAAGUGGAAUUCCUGGUGUAGCAGUGAAAUGCGUAGAUAUCAGGAGGAACACCCGUGGCGAAGGCGGCUUCCUGGGGCAUUCCUGACACUGAGAAGCGAAAGCUAGGGGAGCAAACGGGAUUAGAAACCCCGGUAGUCCUAGCUGUAAACGAUGGAUGCUAGGUGUUGGCAGAUCUAACCCUGCCUGUGCCGAAGCUAACGCGUUAAGCAUCCCGCCUGGGAACUACGAGCGCAAGCUUAAA
Molecule: ribosomal RNA, 332 nt
Filed under: uncultured bacterium
Lineage: Bacteria
Description: bacterial SSU rRNA
Rfam family: Bacterial small subunit ribosomal RNA
Source: RNAcentral